Molecule: long non-coding RNA, 389 nt
Organism: Suricata suricatta (meerkat)
Lineage: Eukaryota; Metazoa; Chordata; Mammalia; Carnivora; Herpestidae
Exons: 3
Source: RefSeq, a predicted model, not a curated record
AUGCCAGCUGGGAUAAAGUACUGCUGAUUAUAAUCCCUCAAAAUUGAGAAAUUAAUGAUAGUUGUCAAGAAGGGAUGGGUGAAGAGAAAUGUUUUGGAAAGAGGCAGAAUCAUGUGCUGGGAAGAAAAAAAGAGAUCAUUGCAGUUGGGAUGUUGGGAGAUGAGGCCAAUGAGGAGAGAUGAGACUUUGGGAAACGGUAAAUCAUGCUUCGUACAAAGGAAUGGCUCUUGUGGAAAGAUAAUAAAAGGAAACCUAAUUGGGAGACCAGCAGGGGGAGCUCUCAAGCCCUCCACUCCUUGUCCAUUGCAGAUCUAACAGGGCAGGUUCUGUGCCUGGGGCAUUUAGCAAGAGUCACCUUGGGAAUCACCUUGGCAUGGCGACCGAGUGGC